GCAUCUUCGGAUGUGUAUAAAGUGGCGAACGGCUGAGUAACACGUGGGCAACCUGCCCUUUGCACUGGGAUAGCCUCGGGAAACCGAGGUUAAUACCGGAUACUCCAUAUUUGUCGCAUGGCGAAUAUGGGAAAGCUCCGGCGGCAAAGGAUGGGCCCGCGGCCUGUUAGCUAGUUGGUGGGGUAGUGGCCUACCAAGGCAAUGAUGGGUAGCCGGGUUGAGAGACCGACCGGCCAGAUUGGGACUGAGACACGGCCCAGACUCCUACGGGAGGCAGCAGUGGGGAAUCUUGCACAAUGGGCGAAAGCCUGAUGCAGCGACGCCGCGUGCGGGAUGAAGGCCUUCGGGUUGUAAACCGCUUUCAGCAGGGACGAGGCCGCAAGGUGACGGUACCUGCAGAAGAAGCCCCGGCUAACUACGUGCCAGCAGCCGCGGUAAUACGUAGGGGGCAAGCGUUAUCCGGAUUCAUUGGGCGUAAAGCGCGCGUAGGCGGUCUGUUAGGUCAGGAGUUAAAUCUGGGGGCUCAACCCCUAUCCGCUCCUGAUACCGGCAGGCUUGAGUCUGGUAGGGGAAGAUGGAAUUCCAAGUGUAGCGGUGAAAUGCGCAGAUAUUUGGAAGAACACCGGUGGCGAAGGCGGUCUUCUGGGCCAUGACUGACGCUGAGGCGCGAAAGCUAGGGGAGCGAACAGGAUUAGAUACCCUGGUAGUCCUAGCUGUAAACGAUGGACACUAGGUGUGGGGAGAUUAUACUUUCCGUGCCGCAGCUAACGCAUUAAGUGUCCCGCCUGG
Molecule: ribosomal RNA, 789 nt
Filed under: uncultured bacterium
Lineage: Bacteria
Description: bacterial SSU rRNA
Rfam family: Bacterial small subunit ribosomal RNA
Source: RNAcentral